CUACGUGCCAGCAGCCGCGGUAAUACGUAGGGGGCAAGCGUUAUCCGGAAUUAUUGGGCGUAAAGAGUGCGUAGGUGGUCUACUAAGCGCGAGGUGAAAGGCAAUGGCUCAACCAUUGUUAGCCUUGCGAACUGGCAGACUUGAGUGCAAGAGAGGAAAGCGGAAUUCCUAGUGUAGCGGUGAAAUGCGCAGAUAUUAGGAGGAACACCGGCGGCGAAGGCGGCUUUCUGGAUUGUAACUGACACUGAGGCACGAAAGCGUGGGUAGCAAACAGGAUUAGAUACCCUGGUAGUCCACGCCGUAAACGAUGAGCACUAGGUGUCGGGACAUGAGUCUCGGUGCCGCAGUUAACGCAAUAAGUGCUCCGCCUGGGGAGUACGCACGCAAGUGUAAAACUCAAAGGAAUUGACGGGGACCCGCACAAGCAGCGGAGCAUGUGGUUUAAUUCGAAGCAACGCGAAGAACCUUACCAAGACUUGACAUCCCUCUG
This 490-nucleotide ribosomal RNA is filed under the name uncultured bacterium. Its description in RNAcentral is "bacterial SSU rRNA". It matches the Rfam family "Bacterial small subunit ribosomal RNA", at positions 501 to 994 of the family's 1533-position model. The record is from RNAcentral.